CGUACACUCCUGCGGGAGGCAGCAGUGGGGAAUAUUGGACAAUGGGCGCAAGCCUGAUCCAGCCAUGCCGCGUGAGUGAUGAAGGCCCUAGGGUUGUAAAGCUCUUUCACCGGUGAAGAUAAUGACGGUAACCGGAGAAGAAGCCCCGGCUAACUUCGUGCCAGCAGCCGCGGUAAUACGAAGGGGGCUAGCGUUGUUCGGAUUUACUGGGCGUAAAGCGCACGUAGGCGGACUAUUAAGUCAGGGGUGAAAUCCCGGGGCUCAACCCCGGAACUGCCUUUGAUACUGGUAGUCUUGAGUUCGAGAGAGGUGAGUGGAAUUCCGAGUGUAGAGGUGAAAUUCGUAGAUAUUCGGAGGAACACCAGUGGCGAAGGCGGCUCACUGGCUCGAUACUGACGCUGAGGUGCGAAAGCGUGGGGAGCAAACAGGAUUAGAUACCCCAGUAGCCAUG
Molecule: ribosomal RNA, 451 nt
Filed under: uncultured organism
Description: partial 16S ribosomal RNA
Rfam family: Bacterial small subunit ribosomal RNA
Source: RNAcentral